RNAcentral lists this long non-coding RNA (256 nucleotides) under Sus scrofa (pig). RNAcentral describes it as "lncRNA (ENSSSCG00070012191.1)". The record is from RNAcentral. Lineage: Eukaryota; Metazoa; Chordata; Mammalia; Artiodactyla; Suidae.
UAUGAUUUACCUCCAGCAAAUGUCUUAGCCAUUCAGAACUCAAGGGGGAGACAUAUUAUAUAUCAAAGGCCAUGGCCGGUGGUAUUUACUGGAAACAGGGUGGCUCUGGGCUGGUUGCUACGUUGAUGAAAAAGUUCCCAACUUCUGCAGACCACAGAUGCAAUAAACAACGUCAUUCUUUGCUGGCCUUAUAAUUAGGAUAAAGUCACUGCCUGGAUGCUGAACUCCGACACCAGUGUGCUGUGGCUCUAGAAGA